CCUGGAGGGCUGGCCAGGGUGGGGCAGGGGCCCGGCCUCAGCGUACGCUUCCUGCCCCGUCUCGGGGCAGGUGCCCGGGAUGCCCGCGGCCGAGGAAUAAGGGGGUGGGGGUGCGCGGGCCAGAGGCUGGGACCCAGGCAGCGGUGUAUGACCCACCCGGCGGAAAUGGAGACUAAUUACGGACGUCUUUAUGCUAACAUGCACCUGGCUGGGCUUUUCUAGGGCGGAGAAAGUGUGCAGAGUAGAAAGGAAGAAGUUCCGGAGAGCGGGAAAGUUCCGGAAGCACUUGAUUCCGUGAUAAAAAAAAAACUGCAGGCCUCUGCUCACGCGCUGUGUGGCCUUGGGGAAGUUACUUGAGGAUGUUAUUGGGCUUAAGUGUUCUACUCUGAAGAAGAGAGAACACGGGUCAAGUUUUCUUCCCAAGCUCGGUCACUCUGUCAGCAACAAGAUGGAAGUCUGACCCUCAGGUUGAUCUCAGAAGAUAGAGAGGGGCCAGGUUGCGGGAGGUGUGAGGGGUGUGUCACAGGGCAGAAUCCUGGGCGUUGCAGAGCAUCCAAGUCGCAAAAACCAGGAGCGCGAUUCCAAGGGCCUGUGGCUGUCUCCACUGUUGCCCAGAAGUCAAAGUGAGGGCCCCAAGGAAGGAGGCCAAACAAAGGUCCCCGGAUUUGUGGCAGGAAGGUAGGAAGGAGGUGGUUUGGUGGUAAAAGAAGAUGGGAGAUGGGGUGGGCAGCAGGUUGGAAAAGUGGGUGUUUUACCAUGGGACCCAUCUGAGCUUUAUUAUAAGGUUGGGGGUGGAGGGCAGGGAUGGGUUGAAGAUGCCAAGGAGAGAAAGGGGAGAUGACUGAUGGGAUUAUGUCCUGAAGAAGGCCUAAGGGUGGGAGCUAGAGCACAGGUGGGAAGGAAAAGGAAAUACACUGGGGAGGUGGGUGGGGCGAGGAGGAGAGGAUGUUUUUACCCAGAGAGAACUCUCUUCAUGAGUCUUACUCAACUCAGUGGUGGAGGAGAUCUCAGUGUGGUCACCUAGUGAGGAGUGAAAAUGGACCUGGGAAGAAACCACCAUGGAGACCAAAUCAGGGUUAGGGUGGGGAGGAUGGAAGGGCUGAUGAGUAGGAGUGCUGUUGAGGUUGAAUUACAGGAAUUUGAAAGCAAAGUAAAAGAAAUCUUUGAGGGGCUGUGAGAGGCUGGCAUUUAUGAGAUUGUCUUGUACCCUUCCAUACAUUGUCUCUUUUAAUUCCCCACCAGUAGGUAUUAUUAAUCCCAUUUUAUCGUUGGGGAAAUGGAGGCUCAGAGUGCUGAGGAACUUUGUCCAAGGUCACUCAGCUGGUAAGAGAUGAAGUCCUGAUUCGAACCCACGUCUGUCUGCCUCAGAAUGGAGGCUGCUACCAUUUUGUUCCACUGGGCAGGAGUCCUGACCCUGGGGCCUCAAUAGUCCUUCCUUCCCCAGGUGUGGCCAUCCUGGGGUGCUGACCCACUUGGCUGGAAGGAAGGGGCUGGGCUUUCGACCCAGUGCAGGCUGUCCUGAGCCAGCCUGAACUUGCAGGAAGCCUCCACCCAGCUGAGAUGUGGGGGGAAAGAGUGGGCUUUUUUUCCCUAAAUGAGAUCAAAACAUAUAUAUUUUUCUGCAACGUACCAUUUUUAGCUUAAUAUUUCCAUAUAUGUGUGUGUAUACACACACACGCACGCACCUUUUAAAGUUGUGUUGUCCUCCUUUGUAUAGUUAUUCUGUUUAUUAUUUACUUUUUCCCCUACAAGUUUUGCAGUCAUAGUGCUUUAGUGCACAUCCAUCUUUGUGAGAAUAUCUUUGAGCAGAUAGAGAUACUUCUACAUGAUAGAGUCCUAGAAGUGGCAUCAGUGGGUCAAGGAUAUGCUUAUUUUCAGUUCUUAUGGAUAGUCCUAAACCUUCCUCCAAAGAGGCUGUUCCCUCCAUCAAAGUAUGAGUGUACCCAUUCUUUCACAGCCUGGCCUCUGGGUAUCAUACAAUGUAUACAUAUUGUCCAAUCUAUAUGGCCAAAAAAGAGUUUUUCACUUUUGUUUUGUAAAGACUUGAAAAAGAGUUCAAGAAUGAGAAGCAGAAAUUUAGGGCAGCUCUGAGGAAGAACUUAAGGUCAGUGAAUGCUAUCAGGACCUAGAUAAGAGAGGCAGCAUAAUUCCUUUCUCUGAGCACAUUGCGAUGCUUGUAGUGGAUCAGACAGCCCCGGAGCUCUGCGUAAGGGCUGACUACCUUGGCACAUACAGGCUGUGUGCAGUCUAGCUCCGCAGAGGUUACAGGAACAAGCUAACAGGCUGCAGGGGGCAGAGGAGGGCAGUUUCAGGGAGGGCAUAGGAAUGAGUUGGGCUUCCUGAAAGAGCCAGGGAAGAUGAGGGUCACCAGGCUCUGAGUGCUAGAUGAAAACUGGUCGGUCCAUAGGCUGUGGAGGUGAAUGAUGGAAAGAGAAUAGGACUUCAGAUUCAGCUUAGCAAAAGUGGAGGUGGGAGAAGAUGGAGAGUGGUGAGAGCACCCCCACCCACACACCCACCCACAAACCUCCCCCUAGGCUAUUCAUGACACAGUUGAUAUUUUUGAGUACUUAUUAUAUGACAUUGCCUCAAGUGUUUGAUUUAUUGAAUAAUUUUGCCCUUGCAGCAAUUCUAUGAGAUAAGUAUAAUGAUUAUUCCCAUUUUAGAGAUGAGGACAUGGAAGUAUAGAGUUAAGUUGCUUAUGCAAGGUGACAACGAUAGAACGUGGCCAAACUAGAAUUCAGACUCAGGCUGUGGGACUUCCAGGUCCCUGCUUUCAGCCACUACACACAUGGCUUUUCACAGCUUUCCUUAGCCAAUAUACUAAUAACUACCAUUAACUGAGAGCAAACUAGGCACACUAUGUUUUUUGUCUCUAAUGCUUUCAACAAGUCUAUGUAAUAGAAGAUAUUAUCCUUAAUUUAAAUUUGAGAAAAGUGAAGUUCAGAGAAGCUGGGUACCUUGGCUAAGAUGACCCAGCUAAAAAGAACUUGAGUAGAAUUUGCACGCACAUUUGUAUGAAUCAGAAGCCCCUGCCACUUCCACAUCACCACAGGACCUUUCGUGACAUAAGGAGAGGAGAACUAGCAUAGCAGAGUGGUCAGGGCUGGAAGUGACCUCUGAAACCGUCUAAUCCAAAUUUCUUGUUAUAGACGAAGAAAGGAAGGUACAGAGAAGGUACAUGCCCAACGUUACACAGCAAGUCUCAGAACCAGGCACAUCUCCUGGGUUCCUGGUCUUCUAUGGGAAUUGAAUGCUUUACCUCAUCUCUGCAGAGAAGAGAGUGUGUGAGAGCAGCCUAGAGGAAGAAUCUAUGUGUAUCUGGGGUGGGGGGGGGUGGGGGAGGGUGGGGAGCCUGUCUGCAUCGCUGGGGAGAGCCCAGCCUCAUCAGCAGGGCUGACUAGGAAGCAGACUGACAAUUUGGAAGGGAAAUCUGGGGAAGCCAUCCUUUUUCUGGAACAGAGACCUGGAACCUCCCCGCUCCAACCCUCCCUUACACGCCUCCUGCCCUGGCCUUCCGAGUGUGUGCAGUCUACUCCCAUCUUAAGCACAGCAUGAGCUGAUGUCCUGGACAGAGCUUCUUUUGAAGGGUUUCAAGAGUCUCUCACCAUCCUGGGUGACCCAAGGACUGCCAUUUCAUCUUAUAAUGCGUCCUGGGUGUGAUGUUUGGAGCUAUGGCAUCCAUCUUGUGAUCAUGAGGCAAAGGCCAAGAGACAUAUGGAGACAUGGAUCCAGCAACCAGGUGUUAUUGAGAAACUAAACUGACCCCAGAUUCCACCUACCUUCAAGCUUCUUAUUAUAUGAGCCCCAAAGUCAACCUGGCAUCCUGUCAACAGAGAACCUGGCACAUACUGGGUUGUUCCUCUUCUCUUUUCCUUUUGGAGUGCAUGAAGGGGUUAACAGUGGCCACACCAUGAGGCUGUUUCUGUCUCCAGUGGGAGCAAGACGGACCACCCCGUAACCAGAAGAAUUACACAUAUGAGUGAUAUCAUAUGGCAUUUUUCCUUCUCUUUCUGACUUGCUU
Vicugna pacos (alpaca) is the source of this 4021-nucleotide non-coding RNA. NCBI's taxonomy places the organism in Eukaryota, Metazoa, Chordata, Mammalia, Artiodactyla, Camelidae. The record is from RefSeq and is a predicted model, not a curated record.